AGUCGUAAAACAUAUAUCUAAAGGUUUAAGGACUAGAAUAGAUAUUGGGGAUGUUAGUGGUGAAAGUGGAGAACCUCAUUUCUCUUAAUGUUGUUGAUGUUCACCUGAGUGCAAAGGCUGUAUAUUACACAUCGAAGUACAAACAAUUUGGGAACCUUUCUUAUGUUACUGGUGCAUUGAGGAGCUUCAUGGGGCACAGUAAUCGGGACCUCAGGAUCA
Papaver somniferum (opium poppy) is the source of this 219-nucleotide long non-coding RNA. RefSeq lists it as uncharacterized. The record is from RefSeq and is a predicted model, not a curated record. The transcript has 3 exons. Lineage: Eukaryota; Viridiplantae; Streptophyta; Magnoliopsida; Ranunculales; Papaveraceae.